Molecule: long non-coding RNA, 477 nt
Organism: Lontra canadensis (Northern American river otter)
Lineage: Eukaryota; Metazoa; Chordata; Mammalia; Carnivora; Mustelidae
Exons: 2
Source: RefSeq, a predicted model, not a curated record
UCUGACAUGAAGGAGAAGAAUAUAGACUGAAGGAGGAAAUCGUCACCAAGGAGAAGCCAGAGCCUCCUCUGAGCCUGCAGAGGAGAGAAGUGGGAAACUGAGCAGCGGCCUCCAGGACGGGCAGAAUGCCAUCCAAACUAAAGGGGUGCGGAAGCCAAAAAUGUCUGACCAAUGCCACAGCGUGGAGUUCUUGGCUGCCGCACUCCGCACAGACCACCCUCCCCAGAAAGGACACCAGGGCCUCGCUGAGUCAGGAGCCAUGGGACUAAAGGGUUUGAGGUCACCAGGGAUCUCCACAAAAGAAACAUAUGCUCUUUUAAAACUCUCAGGUAUCAGAUGUCAAAAUAACCAUCUUGUUUCCUGCAUCUUGUUGUUGUUUGCAAGUUUAUUAACUGUCUCUUCCUUUAGCCUGCCUCCAUUCUAUGUAUCCCCAGCACCUAGCACAGUGAAUGGAUGAAUAAAUUGAUUCAGAUAUAA